This 301-nucleotide ribosomal RNA is filed under the name uncultured bacterium. Its description in RNAcentral is "partial 16S ribosomal RNA". It matches the Rfam family "Bacterial small subunit ribosomal RNA", at positions 509 to 807 of the family's 1533-position model. The record is from RNAcentral.
CAGCAGCCACGGUAAGACAGAGGAUGCAAGCGUUAUCCGGAAUGAUUGGGCGUAAAGCGUCUGUAGGUGGCUUUUCAAGUCCGCCGUCAAAUCCCAGGGCUCAACCCUAGACAGGCGGUGGAAACUACCAAGCUGGAGUACGGUAGAGGCAGAGGGAAUUUCCAGUGGAGCGGUGAAAUGCGUUGAGAUCGAAAAGAACACCAACAGCGAAAGCACUCUGCUGGGACGACACUGACACUAAGAGACGUAAGCUAGGGGAGCAAAUGGGAUUAGAUACCCGUGUAGUCCCUGUCUCUUAUAC